AGAGUUUGAUCCUGGCUCAGGACGAACGCUGGCGGCGUGCUUAACACAUGCAAGUCGAACGAUGAAGUGGAGCUUGCUCCACGAAUUAGUGGCGAACGGGUGAGGAACACGUGAGAAACCUGCCUCGGAUUUUGGGAUAACAAAUGGAAACGUUUGCUAAUACCAAAUAACGUCGGAGAGUCACAUGGCUUUCUGACGAAAGGAAUUCCGAUUCGAGAGGGUCUCGCGGCCUAUCAGCUAGUUGGCGGGGUAAUGGCCCACCAAGGCAACGACGGGUAGCUGGUCUGAGAGGAUGGUCAGCCACACUGGGACUGAGACACGGCCCAGACUCCUACGGGAGGCAGCAGUGGGGAAUCUUGCGCAAUGGGCGAAAGCCUGACGCAGCAACGCCGCGUGCGGGAAGAAGGCUUUCGGGCUGUAAACCGCUUUCAGCAGGAACGAAAAUGACGGUACCUGCAGAAGAAGGAGCGGCCAACUACGUGCCAGCAGCCGCGGUGACACGUAGGCUCCAAGCGUUGUCCGGAUUUAUUGGGCGUAAAGAGCUCGUAGGCGGUUUAGUAAGUCGGGUGUUAAAACUCUGGGCUCAACCCGGNNAGGCCAUCCGAUACUGCUGUGACUUGGGUUCANNNNNGGAGCGGGGAAUUCCUAGUGUAGCGGUGAAAUGCGCAGNUAUU
Molecule: ribosomal RNA, 674 nt
Filed under: uncultured bacterium
Lineage: Bacteria
Description: bacterial SSU rRNA
Rfam family: Bacterial small subunit ribosomal RNA
Source: RNAcentral